Long non-coding RNA from Megalobrama amblycephala (Wuchang bream), 4031 nucleotides. RefSeq lists it as uncharacterized. Lineage: Eukaryota; Metazoa; Chordata; Actinopteri; Cypriniformes; Xenocyprididae. The transcript is spliced from 3 exons. The record is from RefSeq and is a predicted model, not a curated record.
UCUGUGAGAUUCUGGAAAAAUACCAGGGAGGCUAAGGUAUGGCUGGCAGACCCCCCCUUCUGUUUGUCUUGUGAUAAACAUGUUUUUAGAGGCUCAAACUUGUGCAACCUAUAUGCAGCUUUUUUUCUGUGUAAGCAUCUACUGCAGUUUAGCUAAAUACCAUGUAAGGAGUUGUUUUGACUGGGGACUGAGUGGCCUAUACACAAAUCCGGCGAAAUACGGAAGCAAAGCAGCGCCGCCAUUACUACGUGCCUUGCUGCUAAGGAAGUAGCAGAAGUAGCGAUGGUAUGCAGUAUCUGGCCAAUCCAUCCGGAGCUCAUGUAAUUCUGACCUUGUAGUUUAGGUUCUGAAGCUCAUCGCAUGCCAGAUGAUUAAUAAAAUAAUCUUGAAUACCUACAUUUUCUUUAAUGAGCAGGAUGCGCUUUCAUUGUCAUUAGAGGGCACCGGCAAGUGUCACACCGUCACACUUCGCAGGCACGCAGUAAUGGCGGCAGGCAAGAUGGCGGCGCCCAUAGAGUUCGCGGCGGAUUUGUGUAUAGGACUCGAUGUUGCUACUGGCAGUGCUACUGGAGUUGACACUAGGUGACUUUGAUUCCGACGAAGAAUACCUUUAGGUGAAUCCACCAGGUAAGAUCUUGGAGUCUCCGCUUUCGUAAUCACAGUCCCUUUUUCUUUAGUGUCACUAAUCCAUACUGGCUCACCUGGAUGCAACUGUGGUCAGAGUCAUGUGCUCUGUGUCUAUUAUUAAACUGUUUAACUUGUUUCUUUCUCUUCAACUUUUCCUCUGCUUUCAGACGAUCCAAGUCCAUCCAGCCAGGAUUCAACAUUGAUGGAACAACUGGGAUUGUUGUGCAAAGCUUUUGGCACAUCAGCAGUUCUGCAGGACUAUAUCCAUUAGCUAAUGGUGUUGCCUGAUACUCCAUAAGAGCAAGAUAUGGAUCUGCUGCUUUGGCAAGUAAAUCUUUCACAGUUCUUACUGCACUUUCAGCUUCCCCAUUGGCAUGAGCAUAUCUGGGACUGGAUGUCGUAUGAGAGAAACCCCACUCUUUAGCGAAAUUCUUGAAACAUUCCGCAUUGAAUUGUGGUCCGUUGUCAGACAUCACCUCAGUAGGAAUUCCGUGAUGAGCAAACAUAUUUUUGAGAUGUGUUACCACACCUGUAGCAGUUGUUGAUGACAAUUUUGCUAUUUCCACAAACCAAGAAAAAUAGUCGAUAACCAGCAAGUAUUGAUCCUCUUUCCACUGAAACAGAUCUGCACCGACUUUUGACCAAGGCCUUUUAGGGAAUUCAGUGGGAAUCAAUGUUUUUUAAAGUUUUUUCUUUGGCUUGCACAUACGUCACAUUUCUCCACCUUUGAUUGAAGCUGUGCGCUCAGACCUGGCCACCAAACCGAUUGCUUAGCACGCUCUUGACAUUUAGCAAUGCCCUGGUGUGCAACAUGCAGUUUCUCCAGGAUAUCACUCUCUAGUGACUUUGGAAUUACGAGACGACAGCCUUUUAGCAACGGUCUAUUCUCUACCGUUAACUCCCCAGUGGGGUAUUGACAGCAAAUAGGGCUUGGAGUCAGGCUUCAGAGAUAUCUCAUACUCUCCCUGCAGUUUUCCCAGACCCUCGAAUAAUUCAGGAAACUGUCUUUUCACUGACUCCAUACUAUCAAGGAUCACUGUAUCGAUUCUCGCUAUGAUGCCUAAAGCAUGGAUUGCCGGCCGCCCAAGUAGCGCCAUUUUCAAUCCCGAAAUCACAUAUAUGUCUUGGGUUGUGGUUAUAUAUUUCGUGCUAAGUUUAGCUGUGCACCUACCCUUGACCUGCAGUGAAUCUUGGCCUGGUGCCAGCAGUAUCUUUGAGGUUUUCUGCAGUUUACUGAAGUUGUCCUGCUUGAACAGUUCUUCAGAAACCACAGUGACGUCUGCUCCCUUGUCCACUUUUAACCUCAGAAUCACUUUUAGUUUUAUCAGCCAGGGGGCAUCAUUCUGCUCUGUACUGACAGUACCUAAGAAAGCCAUGUCAUCCUCUUGUUCAUCACGAGUCAUGUUUACUUCACUUAUUCCUCUGGAUCUGCAAACUUUUGCAUAAUGACCCUUUUUCUUACAAAGGUUGCAGUAUGCCUGUCUUGCUGGGCACUGAAAUUUGCUGUGAGAAGGAAUUUUCCCACACCUCUUACAUGGGAUGGACUUAUCCAACACAGUUUGCUUCUCAGCCAUCCUAGCAGGCUUCUUACUCUGCAUCAUGCUUCGUCCUUUAUUGUAAGGUCGUUGCUGUGCAUGAACGAUGUCAACAUUGGUUGCUAAAUCACUUUUAAAGUUGGCUUUCAGCUCCUCUUGCUGUUUCUUUACCAGCUCGCUUUGGCGUACAUGUGUGACAGCCUUCUCUAAAGUGAGUUCAGGAUCCAUCUGAAGUUGGUCUGACAAUCUUUUAUCUCUCAGUCCAACCACUAAUCUGUCCAGAAUCAUUUCACUGUAUAAUUCUCCAUAGCCGCAAUGCUCACCUAGGCAAUGUAGUGCUGUGAUGAAAUUAUCUGCAGACUCUCCUGCUUCCUGUUGUCUCAUAUUAAACUUUGCACGUUCAAAUAUUACAUUUCUUCGUACUACAAAAUGUUCAUUCAGACGCUCCAUGACAGUAUUAUACUCACUGAGCUGUUCUGAAGUGAGACACAAUGAUGUAAGGAUGUCCUCCGCCUCAUCACCCAUUGUAUACACUAGGGCAUUCACUUGGUUCUCUUCUGGUUGUAAUUCAAGUCCAGAUGCAACUCUAAAUCUUUCAAAUCUUUUACUCCAUUUUGGCCAUUCCUCUGGUUUUGAGAAACUUUUGCGGUGACGGUACCUGAAACCGAUCCAUUUUCUCCUGCGUAGUUCUUCACUCCUCUGCACGUGUCGAGCGAUCACUUGUCUGUCAAAUUUCACAACAAAAAGCUUGAUUUCUUAUAUUACCACUCUUGGCAAAAGGGCUCUCUCAGUCCUCCUAUGCCAUUCUCAUGCAAACUUCUGACACCAUGUUGUGUUAGGAUGGCUAUUUUGUCGUUAUUGUGUGCUGAAGUAAGCCAGGUCAAACCAACGUGAUGUGAUACACUUUUUAUUCUUUCCGACAACUCCCCCUCGUCCACUAGGGGGCGAUAUUUAACCAUAUCUCUACACUAAGCAUAAUGUAAUAACUCCAUGUUACACCCACAUCUGUCAAAGCACCUGACAGGGCAAGCCACUUAAACUGUAUCCUUAUAACUUAGUUUGAAGCGCUUAUGACAUUUUGAUAUGUUUUGUACAGUUUGGCUCAUGCACUUUUCCCAAAGAUGCUCACUCUGUGCCAUCCGUGGUGCGUUUUGUCCAUGGAAAUGCUUUAUUGAGUACUGUAAUGUGACAUGAAUGGAGGAUGUAUUUCCAUGAACUGCAUGCAGACAUGAGAGUAAAAUAUAACGUAAAUGAUGUCUCUUACUGAAAUAUGUAGUAGAAAACCCAUGAAAAUUUUACGUUAUUUAAAAAAAUCCAUAACAUAUUUGUACAAUGGAGCGCCAUUUUGUUUGCGUUCUGUGUCGAUGACGUCAAAUGGUUGCACUCUGUCAGCUACAAAUAUUACUCUAUGGCUAUUUUUACCAAAGGCAUCAGGGCUAAAGUGGAGAGAACAUAUACACCUGGUCACUUCAUUUCUCUGAUCGAAUAUCUGAUUUAUAAAAACGAUUGCAUUUACACUUGGCCACAUAAAUGUGUCUCCGCAAAUAUAUCUGAUCUUCAAUUCCCACGCUAUAUGCAGAUAUCAUGGAGUUCACGUCACCAAAAGCAACAAAUGAGCUGCAUUUUAUUGAUUAUCAGCUAAUUUCAAAAUCAAGACCGCAAUCAGAGAGAGCAUGGCAACAGUCCUCCUGGUAAGAUCAUUCAGUUUCAUUACCUUUAAUGAAGAUGAUUGUGUGCGCGCCUUAGUCUGGGUAAACCCAGCCUGAUCUGCCGGCGAUUUGAUUUUGCUCGGCAACUCAGUCUGGAAACCCGUACAUUCAUUUCUGCUGCGCUGUUACACUUUUGCGGGAACCAAUCACAGACUGGCUU